AGCCACAGCCAUAUCACCCUGCAGCACACCGGUUUCCCACUGAAGCUAAGCAGGGCUGAGCCUGGUCAGUACCUGGAUGGGAGACCACAUGGGAAAACUAGGUUGCUGUUGGAA
Molecule: ribosomal RNA, 114 nt
Filed under: Danio rerio (zebrafish)
Lineage: Eukaryota; Metazoa; Chordata; Actinopteri; Cypriniformes; Danionidae
Source: RNAcentral